RNAcentral lists this transfer RNA (64 nucleotides) under Protaetia speciosa jousselini. RNAcentral's name for it is "tRNA-Glu". The record is from RNAcentral. Lineage: Eukaryota; Metazoa; Arthropoda; Insecta; Coleoptera; Scarabaeidae.
AUUUAUAUAGUUUAAUAAAAACAUUAUAUUUUCAUUAUAAAAUUAGAUCUAUAUCUUGUAAAUA